AUAAUGACUCUCGGCAACGGAUAUCUAGGCUCUUGCAUCGAUGAAGAACGUAGCGAAAUGCGAUACUUGGUGUGAAUUGCAGAAUCCCGUGAACCAUCGAGUCUUUGAACGCAAGUUGCGCCCGAAGCCAUUAGGUUAAGGGCACGUCUGCCUGGGCGUCACAU
RNAcentral lists this ribosomal RNA (164 nucleotides) under Caragana hololeuca. Its description in RNAcentral is "5.8S ribosomal RNA". It matches the Rfam family "5.8S ribosomal RNA". Rfam says of the family: 5.8S ribosomal RNA (5.8S rRNA) is a component of the large subunit of the eukaryotic ribosome. It is transcribed by RNA polymerase I as part of the 45S precursor that also contains 18S and 28S rRNA. Lineage: Eukaryota; Viridiplantae; Streptophyta; Magnoliopsida; Fabales; Fabaceae. The record is from RNAcentral.